This is a non-coding RNA of Misgurnus anguillicaudatus (oriental weatherfish), 4764 nucleotides long. The record is from RefSeq and is a predicted model, not a curated record. Lineage: Eukaryota; Metazoa; Chordata; Actinopteri; Cypriniformes; Cobitidae.
CUACACGCGUCUGCGCGUGAACUCCAUUUCCCAGCGCGCACCGCGUCGCGCGAUGUUUCCCACAGCUGACAGACAGCGCGCGGACGCUCGCAGCUGAACGCGCAGCUCGCACGACGCGCUCGCCCGCGCUCGGAUUUGGGAUUACCCGCAACCACAAACCGUCAUUUCUCCGGAGGAGUUCAUACGAACGGGAGCUGUGCCGUCUGAUGGCACGCAUCUGUAGCGCGCGUGGAUCGUUUAAUCGCUCGUAGUGUGUCGAUCAUCCACUGGAGCCCGAUGCAGUGGGAUGGAUGGUGUUAGACUGGGAUUGAUGAUGAUGGUGGAGGAGAGUGAUGAACAGAGGGACCGCGGCGGCGGCGGCGCGCUUCACCAGUGCGAGCUCAUUCAGAACAUGAUCGACAUCUCCAUCUCCAGUUUGCAAGGGCUGCGGACCAAAUGCGCCGCGUCCAACGAUCUCACACAGCAAGAGAUCCGCACUUUAGAGGUCAAGCUCAUGAAGUACAUCUGUAAACAACUGCAGUGCAAGCAGAAGGUGCCAGACACAGAGCGGCCGGCGGCCCUGGACAGCUACCCACGAUUGGUAGACUGGUUACGCACCAUCAACAUCAGACCUGAGCUUAUAGAGGCAGUGAGCAAGAAGCUGUCAUUGGAUGCUCUGCUGCAGAUGCCCAGCAGUCAGGUGCAGGAAACCAUGAGAAGGCUGGGCUCGAGUUCAGGGGAGUGUACCCGACUAUGUGCUGCUCUUAACUGUUUGAAGAGUGCCUCUGAGUCCGGGGAGUUUAAAGAGGAAAGCCAUUGCUGGUUCUCCGAACCCACGAGGCGGGACAGUGGCGGUUUGACUCCGGUGGAUCAGAUGCCGUUACUAGGAACUUCCCUACGUUCCCACAGUCCAUCACCUUUGGUCCGCCCCCCAACCACCCCCUCCACCCCUCUUGCCACCUGCCUGUAUCCCCGCUACAUCCUAUCACCCAGUGAACCUCAUAUUUCUCACGGUUACGCUGAGAGUCUGACCGACCCCAGUCCUUAUUAUACCUCUCGACCCGUUCGACUCCACGGACACACCUCGACUCCGCCCAUAACCCCGCCCUCGAGGAGAAGGCACCGCCUUAAGCCUCCGUGCACACCCCCUCCCCCCUCACGCAAAGUUUUGCACCUCCUUCCCAACAUCACGAUGACCCGCAGCAAGAGUCACGAGAGCCAGCUCGGACACCGCAUCGAAGACACGCCCACAAACAAGUGUGUAAAGAAGAACAAGCUGUUUAUCAACGUUCAGAUUAAUGGAAACGGAUGUGAAGACCCCUCGACGCGUUCGCCCACCCUCUCCAUCCGGACCCCCUUGGCGACACCCACGACGGCCCCGUACACCCUGCCGGGCACCCCAACCCUUCAGGAGGAGUACAGCGGCCUGAGAAAUAAUGUGAGCGUCCACCGCAAUUCACCUCAGGCGUUGCGAAGAGACAUCGGUCUGGCUGUCACUCACAGGUUCUCUACAAAAUCUUGGCUUUCUCAGACGUGUCAGGUGUGUCAGAAGAACAUGAUCUUCGGAGUAAAGUGUAAACACUGCAGGUUAAAGUGUCACAACAAAUGCACAAAAGAAGCUCCAUCCUGCAGGAUCUCCUUCCUUCCCAUCACAAAGAUUCGCAGGACAGAAUCUGUACCAUCUGAUAUCAACAAUCCUGUGGACCGUCCACCUGAAGCGCCGCAGUUUGGGACGCUGCCAAAGGCAAUAACAAAGAAGGAUCAGCCGCCUGUGCUGAAUCAACUGGAUUCCAGCAGUAAUCCGUCCUCCACAACAUCCUCUACGCCUUCUUCUCCCGCCCCCUUCCAUCAGAGCAACCCCCCUAGCGUAACCCCGCCCCCAAACCCCUCCCCUAAGGGUCACCGUGACAACCGUUUCCACUUUCCAGCUGCCUGUUAUUUUCAGCACAGACAGCAGUUUAUCUUCCCUGAUGUUUGCAAUACCAGUGUACUUCAUUCAGAUGUGCUACCAGAUACGGUUAAUGAGAUCGAUGCUUCAGAAGAGGAGAUGCACGCAGAACAAGAUGAGGAAGAAGAUCGUGAGGAGCUGGAAGAGGAAGAAGAGGAAAUCGAGGCAGAAGAGGAAGAUGAUGUAGCUGUGGAUGAGGAAGACGAAGAGGUCGAGGAAGAAGAGGAUAUGGAGGAACUGCUUGCUGGCUCCGAGGGAGAAUGCGAAGGCGACGAGCUGGACGACCUGCCCAGCACGCAUGGAGGAACGCACUGGAGAGGUCCGAUCUCUCGUAAGGCCAGUCAGACCAGCGUCUAUCUGCAGGAGUGGGACAUUCCAUUCGAACAGCUGGACCUGGGGGAGCUCAUCGGCAAGGGCCGAUGGGGUCGGGUUCAUCACGGUCGCUGGCACGGAGAGGUGGCUAUUCGGCUCCUGGAGAUCGAUGGCAACAACCAGGACCACUUGAAGCUUUUCAAGAAGGAGGUGAUGAACUACAGACAGACGCGUCACGAAAACGUCGUCCUGUUUAUGGGAGCGUGCAUGGCCCCUCCUCAUCUCGCCAUUAUUACCAGCUUCUGCAAAGGCCGGACGUUGUAUUCGGUUGUCAGAGACACAAAAAACACACUGGACAUCAAUAAGACUCGACAAAUCGCACAGGAAAUCGUGAAGGGAAUGGGCUACCUUCACGCUAAGGGAAUCGUCCACAAGGAUCUUAAAUCGAAAAAUGUCUUUCACGACACAAACAAAGUUAUCAUCACCGAUUUUGGUCUUUUUGGGAUCUCCGGUGUGGUUCAGGAGGGCCGACGGGAAAACGAGUUGAAACUUCCUCACGGUUGGAUCUGCUACCUGGCUCCGGAAAUCGUGCGCAAGAUGAGUCCGGGAAACAACGAGGACAGACUUCCGUUUUCUAACGCUGCUGAUGUUUAUGCUUUCGGCACCAUCUGGUAUGAGCUGCAGGCCAGAGACUGGCCCAUCACCAGUCAACCUGUUGAGGCCACCAUCUGGCAGGUGGGCAGUGGAGAGGGCAUCAGAAGGGUCCUGGCUGAGAUGAAUUUAGGAAAGGAGGUCACGGAGAUUCUGUCCGCCUGCUGGUCGUACGACUCUCGUAAUCGACCCACGUUCACCCAGCUGGCAGACAUGCUGGAGAAGCUGCCCAAGCUGAACCGACGACUGUCUCACCCUGGACACUUCUGGAAGUCUGCAGAGUACGUAUCCUAGUCUGGGACACAGUUUUAAGAGAGGAUAUACAGUACAGGUGACGAAACGGACGAAAGUGGAAACAACCGUAGAGAUGACCUCGAAAGUUAUUGCCGUGUAUCAGUUUUCUAAUAUUGCUUGUCCAGUUGUUUCUUCACCAGGUUGUAGCUGUGUGCCUGCAACAAUGUGCAAUGCAAAACCCUCAAACCCUGGCUCUGCCUUGCAUGCCUGCUGAACGCCUGACCUCUCCUGGACUCACAAAACUAACCAUCGUCUGCUCUUCCGUCUCUAACUCUUAACUUUCGGUUCGGUGGGUUUUGGUGGUGGGCGGCUAUCGAGGAGUCGAGUGAAAUGAAAGGCUUUGCCUUUUUAUUCCCUGUUCAUUUUCUUGUGUGAAGUGCACAACUGGUUUUUCUCUUCCUCUCCUGCUCUGGUUUGUGACGUCAUGUGACACGUUUCCUGUUGGAUUUAUUGAAGAUUUACACCAAGCACCUCUGCUUUCCUUCAGUCUCUUUCUCUCUCUCACUCUCUUUCGUGGUCUUGGUGCCUCUUAGUCCUGUGUGAUGUGGGAUUCUGUCUCUGAUUGGACCGUCUGGUUCAUGCUUUAGUUCACACCUUUAGUUCUCACACUUCCUCCACAGUGUCUGACACAAAUAAUAAUUCUGUUUUUAAGAGAGAAAUAUUUGUUUCCUAACCAGGCGUUAACCAAACUAUCGGUCAACUCAUGCAGCCUAGUUUAUUUGAUGUUUUAUGUCGAGCAAUGAGAUAUCACGGUGGUCGGGCUUCACAGCGUAACAUCACAGAAACCAUGUAAUCGCCGAAACAUCCCGUUCCUUAUUGCUUGACGUGGUGACAACUGAUAAGAUAGAUAAAAAUGUAAAUUCAGAUUUACUGUACUACUUUAUUGUGUUAUGCCUGGUUUAGGAUGUGUUGUGAGGGUCUGUCCAGUGUAUUUUUAUUAAAUGUAAAAACUGACAGCUUUCCGAACCUGAUGAGAUUUAAAUGGGAUAUAACGUUCACCUUUGCCCUCUUUAAGUUAUUAUAUCUGGCACGGAUGAGCCAAAGAGAAGCGUGUAUGUCUUCUCAUCUGAACGAUGGAUGGGUCCUGAAGUUGAACAGUGGUUCAUAAUGAAUUGUGUAUACAUGCGUUUGUGUGUAACAUGCGUGUUUGUAACGUUGUGAAUGUGAAAGGGUGCGUGUUUGUUUGUUUGUUCUGUAUAAGACUGGAUUUUGUGGUUUGGAAAUGUGAAUGACAUGUAAAAUAUUUAUGUAUAAAUAUGGUUUAUUUAUUGUACAGUCAAUGAACAGAAUUCUUUAAUAUUUAAAUGGACAUUUUAUAUUAAUAUAAAUAUAUAUAUAUACUGUACAUCAUGACAUUUUUGAAUAGGUAUUGCUGUCCUAUCCCAGAUGUAAAUAUUCUUUAUAUUUUUUCAUGUAAAAUAACAAAAACAAACCUGUAAAGCAAACUUUUUCUAAAAUGGGUCGAUACAUGUCAUAUUUUUGUAUUGCAUGUGGCUACUGUACACAGUGUCUGUUUUCAUCCUUGAAAGACAAUAAAACCAAGCUUGUCACGUGAAUUAUAUUAGUACGUUUUAUAAAAA